This 783-nucleotide ribosomal RNA is filed under the name Clostridioides difficile. RNAcentral describes it as "partial 23S ribosomal RNA". It matches the Rfam family "Bacterial large subunit ribosomal RNA", at positions 1 to 748 of the family's 2925-position model. Lineage: Bacteria; Bacillati; Bacillota; Clostridia; Peptostreptococcales; Peptostreptococcaceae. The record is from RNAcentral.
UGGUCAAGUUAUUAAGGGUGCAGGGCGGAUGCCUUGGCACUAGGAGCCGAUGAAGGACGUGAUAAGCUGCGAUAAGCUUCGGGGAGUUGCACGUAAACUUUGAUCCGAAGAUUUCCGAAUGAGGAAACUCACUUAGAGUAAUGUCUAAGUAUCAUUAAGUGAAUACAUAGCUUAAUGAGGGGAACUCAGGGAACUGAAACAUCUAAGUACCUGAAGGAAGAGAAAGAAAUUCGAUUCCGUAAGUAGCGGCGAGCGAACGCGGAUUAGCCCAAACCAAUAAAGUUUUCUUUGUUGGGGUUGCGGACAUAUCAUAACGAAGAGGUAUCGUAAUUGAAGAGGUUUGGAAAGACCCACCACAGAAGGUAAUAGUCCUGUAUGUUAAACGAGAAGACUUUAGAUAUGAUCCAGAGUACCACGGGACACGUGAAACCCUGUGGGAAGCAGGAGGGACCACCCUCCAAGGCUAAAUACUACCUAGUGACCGAUAGCGUAUAGUACCGUGAGGGAAAGGUGAAAAGAACCCCGGGAGGGGAGUGAAAUAGAACCUGAAACCCUGCACUUACAAGCUGUGGAAGCACAUUUCUUGUGUGACCGCGUACUUUUUGUAGAACGGGCCAACGAGUUACGUUAAGUAGCAAGGUUAAGCACUUAAGGUGCGGAGCCGUAGGGGUGCAGGGCGGAUGCCUUGGCACUAGGAGCCGAUGAAGGACGUGAUAAGCUGCGAUAAGCUUCGGGGAGUUGCACGUAAACUUUGAUCCGAAGAUUUCCGAAUGAGGAAACUCA